AAGAGCCUGAGCUUCCAGUUGCCAGCCACUUCAAGACACCACCUUAUUCCCUGGUCAAUAUUGCAGUGGCCUUUGGGGGAACCAACCCUGAAAUAUAUAUCUAUAUCCUACCCCUAAUGUACAGUCAAGGCCAUGAAGGAACCAGCAAGUCAUGCCACCUGACUGAGAGUACUUCACCAGUAGCAGUAAAGUAACAUCAUACGCAGAAUCAAAAUUUCUCCAACUCUCUUCACCUGUAUUUGUCUUGAGGAUACUUCUUCAAUAUGUUCUCUGCCUUGCAGUUUUAUGAAUGAUUGAAUCAUUGAAUGAAAUGAUUACCUCAAAGACAGUUUAUGAACAUCUUUUUCAACUUGACCUCUUCAAAAAGCCAGUGAGGAUUGCACAGCAUGGAAAUGACUGACAGCUGGAACCAGGGUAUGUUAAUGUGAACAUUUAUAUUCUUGGAAUGGGAAAACUCAGAGGCUGCAGUGACUCCAGUUCAAAACGGAUGCCUUGGCUAUGAACUAAUUGCUGCGAUGAAAGACACUAUAUAAAUAAUUUCCUCGCUAUUGGAUAGUCUUGUAUUCAGAAGCUAAGAUCACAAUAACUUACUGCACUAAAAGAAUCUCAUCUCCCCUCUGGUUCUUCUGCCAUGGCUUCUGGUGGGCAAUUGACUCUCACAGAACCACACUGUUUUGGACUUCAUCGUAACUUUGAUCCAGAUAUGGAUACAAGAACUGAAUGCCAGAAGCAAAGUACAG
Chiloscyllium plagiosum (whitespotted bambooshark) is the source of this 740-nucleotide non-coding RNA. The record is from RefSeq and is a predicted model, not a curated record. NCBI's taxonomy places the organism in Eukaryota, Metazoa, Chordata, Chondrichthyes, Orectolobiformes, Hemiscylliidae.